This 483-nucleotide ribosomal RNA is filed under the name uncultured bacterium. RNAcentral describes it as "partial 16S ribosomal RNA". The record is from RNAcentral.
GUAGUUAGCCGUGGCUUCCUCCUCAGGUACCGUCAUUAUCGUCCCUGAAGACAGAGCUUUACAACCCGAAGGCCGUCAUCACUCACGCGGCGUUGCUGCAUCAGGGUUUCCCCCAUUGUGCAAUAUUCCCCACUGCUGCCUCCCGUAGGAGUCUGGACCGUGUCUCAGUUCCAGUGUGGCCGAUCAGCCUCUCAGCUCGGCUACCCAUCGCAGGCUUGGUGGGCCGUUACCUCACCAACUACCUAAUGGGACGCGAACCCCUCUUAAAGCGGAUUGCUCCUUUGACCUCAUCCCGAUGCCGGGUCGUGGUCUUAUGCGGUAUUAGCACUUGUUUCCAGGUGUUAUCCCCCUCUUUAAGGCAGGUUGUUCACGCGUUACUCACCCGUUCGCCACUCAGUACAAAACCGAAAUUCUGUACUCCGUUCGACUUGCAUGUGUUAGGCACGCCGCCAGCGUUCGUCCUGAGCCAGGAUCAAACUCUGA